RNAcentral lists this ribosomal RNA (1437 nucleotides) under uncultured Alphaproteobacteria bacterium. RNAcentral describes it as "bacterial SSU rRNA". It matches the Rfam family "Bacterial small subunit ribosomal RNA". The record is from RNAcentral. Lineage: Bacteria; Pseudomonadati; Pseudomonadota; Alphaproteobacteria.
AGAGUUUGAUCCUGGCUCAGAUUGAACGCUGGCGGCAUGCCUAACACAUGCAAGUCGAGCGAGGGGGCGACCCCUAGCGGCGGACGGGUGAGUAACGCGUGGGAACGUGCCCUUCGGUUCGGGAUAGCCCCGGGAAACUGGGAGUAAUACCGGAUACGCUCUGCGGAGGAAAGAAUUUCGCCGAGGGAUCGGCCCGCGUUGGAUUAGCUUGUUGGUAGGGUAACGGCCUACCAAGGCGACGAUCCGUAGCUGGUCUGAGAGGACGAUCAGCCACACUGGGACUGAGACACGGCCCAGACUCCUAUGGGAGGCAGCAGUGGGGAAUCUUAGACAAUGGGGGAAACCCUGAUCUAGCCAUGCCGCGUGAGUGACGAAGGCCCUAGGGUCGUAAAGCUCUUUCCAGCUGUGAAGAAAAAGACGGUAGCCAGCAGAAGAAACCCCCGGCGAACCUGCCCGUGCCAGCAGCCCGCGGUAAUACGGAGGGGGUUAGCGUUGUUCGGAAUUUACUGGGCGUAAAGCGCGCGUAAGCGGACUAUUAAGUCGAGGGGUGAAAUCCCGGGGGCUCAACCCCGGAACUGCCUUCGAUACUGGUAGUCUUGAGUUCGAGAGAGGUGAGUGGAAUUCCGAGUGUAGAGGUGAAAUUCGUAGAUAUUCGGAGGAACACCAGUGGCGAAGGCGGCUCACUGGCUCGAUACUGACGCUGAGGUGCGAAAGUGUGGGGAGCAAACAGGAUUAGAUACCCUGGUAGUCCACACCGUAAACGAUGAAUGCCAGACGUCGGGUAGCAUGCUAUUCGGUGUCACACCUAACGGAUUAAGCAUUCCGCCUGGGGAGUACGGUCGCAAGAUUAAAACUCAAAGGAAUUGACGGGGGCCCGCAACAACGGUGGAACAAUGGUUAAUUCGAAGCAACGCGCAGAACCGUACCAACCCUUGACAUCCCUAUCGCGGUUACCAGAGAUGGUUUCCUUCAGUUUCGGCUGGAUAGGUGACAGGUGCUGCAUGGCUGUCGUCAGCUCGUGUCGUGAGAUGUUCGGUUAAGUCCGGCAACGAGCGCAACCCACAUCCUUAGUUGCCAGCAGUUCGGCUGGGCACUCUAGGGAAACUGCCCGUGAUAAGCGGGAGGAAGGUGUGGAUGACGUCAAGUCCUCAUGGCCCUUACGGGUUGGGCUACACACGUGCUACAAUGGUGGUGACAGUGGGUUAAUCCCCAAAAACCAUCUCAGUUCGGAUUGUCGUCUGCAACUCGACGGCAUGAGGUCGGAAUCGCUAGUAAUCGCGUAACAGCAUGACGCGGUGAAUACGUUCCCGGGCCUUGUACACACCGCCCGUCACACCAUGGGAGUUGGUUCUACCUGACGAUGCUGCGCUAACCUUCACAGGAGGCAGGCGGCCACGGUAGGAUCAGCGACUGGGGUGAAGUCGUAACAAGGUAGCC